AGUGAACGCUGGCGGUAGGCCUAACACAUGCAAGUCGAACGGCAGCACAGUAAGAGCUUGCUCUUACGGGUGGCGAGUGGCGGACGGGUGAGGAAUACAUCGGAAUCUACUUUUUCGUGGGGGAUAACGUAGGGAAACUUACGCUAAUACCGCAUACGACCUACGGGUGAAAGCAGGGGAUCUUCGGACCUUGCGCGAUUGAAUGAGCCGAUGUCGGAUUAGCUAGUUGGCGGGGUAAUGGCCAACCAUGGCGACGAUCCGUAGCUGGUCUGAGUGGAUGGUCGGCCGCCCUGGAACGGAGCCAGGGUCAAGACUCCUGCGGGACGCAGCAGUGGGGAAUAUUGGACAAUAGUCGCGAGCCUGGUCCAGCCAUACCGCGUGUGUGGAAGAAGCCCUCCGGUUGUGAUGACGUUUUGUUGGGAAAGAACAGCAGCAGGUUGUUACGCAGCGGUAGUGACGGUACCCAGUGAAUAAGCACCGGCUAACUUCGUG
This 492-nucleotide ribosomal RNA is filed under the name uncultured bacterium. RNAcentral's name for it is "partial 16S ribosomal RNA". It matches the Rfam family "Bacterial small subunit ribosomal RNA", at positions 29 to 507 of the family's 1533-position model. The record is from RNAcentral.